This 255-nucleotide unclassified non-coding RNA is filed under the name Hevea brasiliensis (rubber tree). Lineage: Eukaryota; Viridiplantae; Streptophyta; Magnoliopsida; Malpighiales; Euphorbiaceae. The record is from RNAcentral.
AGAUGCGUGCAGCAUGCAUCCUAUGUUCUAGUGCAGAUGUGCCUGGCAUUUCAUCAUUUUUAUGUUAAAGCGUAAUGUUCACUGGUCUCCCUAUUGUAUUUGUCUGUCCUUCCAUGUGAUAAGUUUUAAGAUUCAUCAAAUGGAUUCUGAAGGACGGCAAUUUUUUUUGUUAGUCUUUAUAUGAUGAGUACAUAUUUCUCUCUAUUCAUCCUAACUCUUGUGUUGAUUUCAGGAUUUUGUACCAAGAGAUUGAUU